GGCGAACGCUGGCGGCGUGCUUAACACAUGCAAGUCGAACGGUGAAGGGAUCAGCUUGCUGGUUCUGGAUGAGUGGCGAACGGGUGAGUAACACGUGAGUAACCUGCCCCCUUCUUCUGGAUAACCGCAUGAAAGUGUGGCUAAUACGGGAUAUUCUGGGUCUGUCGCAUGAUGGGUCUGGGAAAGAUAUUGUUUCGGUGGGGGAUGGGCUCGCGGCCUAUCAGCUUGUUGGUGGGGUGAUGGCCUACCAAGGCGGUGACGGGUAGCCGGCCUGAGAGGGUGGACGGUCACACUGGGACUGAGACACGGCCCAGACUCCUACGGGAGGCAGCAGUGGGGAAUAUUGCACAAUGGGCGCAAGCCUGAUGCAGCGACGCCGCGUGAGGGAUGGAGGCCUUCGGGUUGUAAACCUCUUUCGCCAGUGAAGCAGGCCUGCUCCUUGUGGGUGGGUUGACGGUAGCUGGAUAAGAAGCGCCGGCUAACUACGUG
This 489-nucleotide ribosomal RNA is filed under the name uncultured bacterium. RNAcentral describes it as "partial 16S ribosomal RNA". It matches the Rfam family "Bacterial small subunit ribosomal RNA", at positions 28 to 507 of the family's 1533-position model. The record is from RNAcentral.